This is a long non-coding RNA of Poecilia latipinna (sailfin molly), 233 nucleotides long. RefSeq lists it as uncharacterized. The record is from RefSeq and is a predicted model, not a curated record. The transcript is spliced from 2 exons. Lineage: Eukaryota; Metazoa; Chordata; Actinopteri; Cyprinodontiformes; Poeciliidae.
UGCUUUGUGUCAGAAGGUUCUGAUGGAUCCGGUCUCUACCAGCUGUGGACACUGGUUCUGCAGAAAAUGCAUCAGAUCCUACUGGGACCAGUCUGCUCCAUCUGGACCCUCCUCCUGCCCCCAGUGUGGGAAACGACCCAGAACAGGAGCUGGACUGCUGACAGCCAAUCAGAGCAGCUGUGCUCCAGAUGUUGUUCUGCAGGAGGUUCUAGAGGAACAUAAGAUCAGUCUGA